RNAcentral lists this ribosomal RNA (776 nucleotides) under uncultured Neocallimastigales. RNAcentral describes it as "partial large subunit ribosomal RNA". It matches the Rfam family "Eukaryotic large subunit ribosomal RNA", at positions 20 to 644 of the family's 3401-position model. The record is from RNAcentral. Lineage: Eukaryota; Fungi; Neocallimastigomycota; Neocallimastigomycetes; Neocallimastigales.
UACUAGAGUAGCACUCGCAUAUCAAUAAGCGGAGGAAAAGAAACUAGCAAGGAUUCCCCUAGUAACGGCGAGUGAAGCGGGAAGAGCUCAAAUUUGAAAUCUUAAAGGGUUUCCCUUUACGAAUUGUAGUUUAAAGAAGUGUUUUCUGUUGAGGUUUUGGUAAAAGUUCUUUGGAAUAGGACAUCAUAGGAGGGUGAGAAUCCCGUAUUUGACCUUUACUUUCAACUUUGUGAUACACUUUCAAAGAGUCGGAUUGUUUGGGAAUGCAGUCCAAAAUGGGUGGUAAAUUUCAUCUAAAGCUAAAUAUUGGCGAGAGACCGAUAGCGAACAAGUACCGUGAGGGAAAGAUGAAAAGAACUUUGAAAAGAGAGUUAAACAGUACGUGAAAUUGUCGAAAGGGAAGCGUUUGACACCAGUGUUGUUUUUCUGAAAAUCAAUUAAAGAACUGUUUAUGCUAAGCUGUUUAGACUUUAUCAGCUAAUCUGUUUAGUUUUGAGCUUUUCUUUAAUGCACUUUUCAGUUAACAAGUCAACAUCAAUUUCUUUUGCUGUAAAAAAGCUUGAGGAAGGUGGCUUGAGAUUCGUCUUAAGUGUUUAUAGCCUCUUGCCUAUGCAGUCGGAGAGAUUGAGGUCUGCAGCGUAGAUCCUUCGGGGCUAAAUGCAUUUGUGCUAAGUUAUAGCAUUUUAUAGACAACUUGUUGACUAUGAUUUGUCUUGUAGCUUACUCGCUUAUGUUAUUUUACCUACGCUUAGGAUGUUGAACUACUGAGACAUAGA